GCCGACGUAGCUCAGUUGGUAGAGCAGCUGAUUCGUAAUCAGCAGGUCGUCAGUUCGACUCUGACCGUCGGCUCCA
This 76-nucleotide transfer RNA is filed under the name Occallatibacter sp. RNAcentral describes it as "tRNA-Thr". It matches the Rfam family "tRNA". From Rfam's summary of the family: Transfer RNA (tRNA) molecules are approximately 80 nucleotides in length. Their secondary structure includes four short double-helical elements and three loops (D, anti-codon, and T loops). Lineage: Bacteria; Pseudomonadati; Acidobacteriota; Terriglobia; Terriglobales; Acidobacteriaceae. The record is from RNAcentral.